This 305-nucleotide ribosomal RNA is filed under the name uncultured bacterium. Its description in RNAcentral is "bacterial SSU rRNA". It matches the Rfam family "Bacterial small subunit ribosomal RNA", at positions 334 to 656 of the family's 1533-position model. The record is from RNAcentral.
CAGGCCUACGGGGCGCAGCAGUGGGGAAUAUUGGACAAUGGGGGGAACCCUGAUCCAGCGACGCCGCGUGAGUGAAGAAGUAUUUCGGUAUGUAAAGCUCUAUCAGCAGGGAAGAAAAUGACGGUACCUGACUAAGAAGCCCCGGCUAACUACGUGCCAGCAGCCGCGGUAAUACGUAGGGGGCAAGCGUUAUCCGGAUUUACUGGGUGUAAAGGGAGCGUAGGUGGCAGGGCAAGUCAGAUGUGAAAACCCGGGGCUCAACUCCGGGAGUGCAUUUGAAACUGUCCAGCUAGAGAGCAGGCGGG